UAGGGAAUAUUGCACAAUGGGGGAAACCCUGAUGCAGCGACGCCGCGUGAGUGGUGAAGGCCUUCGGGUCGUAAAGCUCUGUCGCAGGGGAAUAACACAAUGAAUGUACCCUGCAAGAAAGGAUCGGCUAACUUCGUGCCAGCAGCCGCGGUAAGACGAGGGAUCCUAGCGUUGUUCGGAAUUAUUGGGCGUAAAGCGGGUGUAGGCGGACUUAUAAGUCAGGUGUGAAAUCCCAGGGCUCAACCCUGGAAGUGCACUUGAUACUGUAAGUCUUGAAUGUGGUAGAGGUUACUGAAAUUGCUGGUGUAGUGGUGAAAUACGUAGAUAUCAGCAGGAACACCAGAGGCGAGGGCGGGUAACUGGGCCAACAUUGACGCUGAGAUCCGAAAGCGUGGGGAUCAAACA
RNAcentral lists this ribosomal RNA (405 nucleotides) under uncultured bacterium. Its description in RNAcentral is "bacterial SSU rRNA". It matches the Rfam family "Bacterial small subunit ribosomal RNA", at positions 355 to 774 of the family's 1533-position model. The record is from RNAcentral.